Molecule: RNase P RNA, 332 nt
Filed under: Vallitaleaceae bacterium
Lineage: Bacteria; Bacillati; Bacillota; Clostridia; Lachnospirales; Vallitaleaceae
Description: partial RNase P RNA component class A
Rfam family: Bacterial RNase P class A
About the family: Ribonuclease P (RNase P) is a ubiquitous endoribonuclease, found in archaea, bacteria and eukarya as well as chloroplasts and mitochondria. Its best characterised activity is the generation of mature 5'-ends of tRNAs by cleaving the 5'-leader elements of precursor-tRNAs.
Source: RNAcentral
CUUCACAGCUAAACGAUCGCGCCCUUUGGCGAGGAAAGUCCGAGCACUAUAGGGCAGGGUGCCAGAUAACGUCUGGUGGAGGCGACUCUAAGGACAGUGCAACAGAAAUAAACCGCCAAAUGCUUGGUAAGGGUGGAAAGGCGAGGUAAGAGCUCACCGCCUCUUUGGUAACAAAGAGGGCAUAUGUAAACCCCACUCAGUGCAAGACCGUAAAGAACCGAAUUGAGCAAUCAAUUCACAGCGGCCCGCUGCUUUGGUUCUUGGUUGGUCGCUUGAGUCUAUCGGCGACGAUAGACCUAGAUAGAUGAUCGUUCACGACAGAACUCGGCUUA